Molecule: ribosomal RNA, 254 nt
Filed under: uncultured bacterium
Lineage: Bacteria
Description: partial 16S ribosomal RNA
Rfam family: Bacterial small subunit ribosomal RNA
Source: RNAcentral
CACGUAGGGGGCAAGCGUUGUCCGGAUUUAUUGGGCGUAAAGAGCUCGUAGGUGGUUCGAUAAGUCGGGUGUGAAACCUCCAGGCUCAACCUGGAGACGCCACCCGAUACUGUCGUGACUAGAGUCCAGUAGGGGAGCGUGGAAUUCCUGGUGUAGCGGUGAAAUGCGCAGAUAUCAGGAGGAACACCGAUGGCGAAGGCAGGUCUCUGGGCAUUAACUGACGCUGAGGAGCGAAAGCAUGGGGAGCGAACAGG